GUGGGGAAUAUUGGGCAAUGGGGGGAACCCUGACCCAGCGACGCCGCGUGGGUGAAGAAAUCCUUCGGGAUGUAAAGCCCUGUUGUAUGGGAAGAGCGGAAGACGGUACCAUACGAGGAAGCCCCGGCAAACUACGUGCCAGCAGCCGCGGUAAUACGUAGGGGGCAAGCGUUGUCCGGAAUUACUGUGCGUAAAGCGCACGCAGGCUGAAUUAUAAGUCGUUAGUAAAAGGCGGGGGCUCAACUUCCGUAUAGCGAUCGAUACGGUAAAUCUAGAGGAUGUGAGAGGGAAGCGGAAUUCCCGGUGUAGCGGUGAAAUGCGUAGAGAUCGGGAGGAACACCAGUGGCGAAGGCGGCUUCCUGGCAAAAUACUGACGCUCAUGUGCGAAAGCUAGGGCAGCGAACGGGAUUAGAAACCCCGGUAGUCC
Molecule: ribosomal RNA, 427 nt
Filed under: uncultured bacterium
Lineage: Bacteria
Description: partial 16S ribosomal RNA
Rfam family: Bacterial small subunit ribosomal RNA
Source: RNAcentral